This 383-nucleotide ribosomal RNA is filed under the name uncultured bacterium. RNAcentral describes it as "partial 16S ribosomal RNA". It matches the Rfam family "Bacterial small subunit ribosomal RNA", at positions 355 to 733 of the family's 1533-position model. The record is from RNAcentral.
UGGGGAAUUUUGGACAAUGGGCGAAAGCCUGAUCCAGCAAUGCCGCGUGUGUGAAGAAGGCCUUCGGGUUGUAAAGCACUUUUGUCCGGAAAGAAAUCCUUGGCUCUAAUACAGUCGGGGGAUGACGGUACCGGAAGAAUAAGCACCGGCUAACUACGUGCCAGCAGCCGCGGUAAUACGUAGGGUGCAAGCGUUAAUCGGAAUUACUGGGCGUAAAGCGUGCGCAGGCGGUUUGCUAAGACCGAUGUGAAAUCCCGGGCUCAACUGGGAACUGCAUUGGUGACUGGCAGGCUAGAGUAUGGCAGAGGUGGUAGAAUUCCACGUGUAGCAGUGAAAUGCGUAGAGAUGUGGAGGAAUACCGAUGGCGAAGGCAGCCCCCUGGG